RNAcentral lists this transfer RNA (71 nucleotides) under Hippocampus spinosissimus (hedgehog seahorse). RNAcentral describes it as "tRNA-Ala". It matches the Rfam family "tRNA". Rfam says of the family: Transfer RNA (tRNA) molecules are approximately 80 nucleotides in length. Their secondary structure includes four short double-helical elements and three loops (D, anti-codon, and T loops). The record is from RNAcentral. Lineage: Eukaryota; Metazoa; Chordata; Actinopteri; Syngnathiformes; Syngnathidae.
UAAGGCUUUAGCUUAAUUAAAGUGUCUGUUUGCAUACAGUAGAUGUGGGUUAAUCUCCUGCAAGUCUUAUC